Molecule: long non-coding RNA, 1126 nt
Filed under: Phascolarctos cinereus (koala)
Lineage: Eukaryota; Metazoa; Chordata; Mammalia; Diprotodontia; Phascolarctidae
Description: lncRNA (ENSPCIG00000016954.2)
Source: RNAcentral
GUCCAGAACAAAAUUACGCUAGGGGCCAGAGAAAUCAAAAGGGCACUCACCCUGGAGGUAGAGGUUAAUAGGACGAACAGGCACUCAAAAUCACUCCUGUGUCACCUGGGACCCUCUACCCCCGCCCCUUGCUAGAGGCUGCUGACCCUGAAGAUGGAAAGACCAUUGCUAAUGAGAAACACUGCCCCGCCGUAGACGUUCGGAAGGAAGGUUUAAGGGUUAAACACUAGGCGAGGAAGAAGGGACUUUCUGUUCAGCGACGAAUUUCUCCCUCCCUCUGUCCCUGGGCAGCCAGCUGUUGAGAUGACUUUUUCCACUCCCUGCUGCUGUUGCCCUGAGCGGUGCUGGCCCUCAGUACAAAAUGGAUAACUUUCCGAUUUAGUGAACUGUAGCAAACGCCAAGCAAUUCUGAUUUUCUGGUUUCCUUGGGCCAUUUCGUGCUAUUGAUUUGUCUGCUUUCCUUUAUGUUUGGCCUUUAGUCUGGGUUUGUCUUCCCCUUAACCUUCUGCAAUGUCGGUGUCACAGUGCCUGGCCCUGCUAAGCUGACUUUUCGUUCUGAACUAGUCACUUUCCAGGCCUGGCUCUCCUCUGAACCCAAUCAGCCCCCGCCCAGUUGGUGUCCACGGCCAAAGCAAUGGAUCUAAGUCUGUUUGAUGACAUAUUUGGCCGCUUGGGACUGUGGUGGAUUCAGAUCACAGCAUGGACGGACACUCCAAUCAGUGGUGCAGUUUGCUAAGGAGCAACUUCUCCUCUCUCCUCCCGCCCCUCCCCCACAAUCAAAUUGACUGAACUCAGGCUGAUUAAGAAGCUAUGGAGACACCUGACCUCAGCCUCGAGUCUUUAGAACUUCCCUCUGCAUUCCGGUCUCAUUUAGCGGCUCUCAGAAAGCUUGACUGUGAAGGGAAACCGAAUUCCGGGAUGUCAAUGGGAAAGAAGAGAAAGCGUCCCCCCGUUUGCUGUUUCAGACGUAAUGGAUCCAGUUAGGAUAUCCUGGCCCCAACUGGGACAGAAUGUUUCAGGUGAAACUCAAACCUCUGGCUGGUUCCUCUGCCCUGGAUGAAGUAGCCGUAAGGUAAGGAUGCCUUUUUUUCCUUUCUUUCCUAGACAAAGGCUUAAUUUUCUAUUC